GAUGAACGCUGGCGGCGUGCCUAAUACAUGCAAGUCGAGCGAACAGACGAGGAGCUUGCUCCUCUGACGUUAGCGGCGGACGGGUGAGUAACACGUGGAUAACCUACCUAUAAGACUGGGAUAACUUCGGGAAACCGGAGCUAAUACCGGAUAAUAUAUUGAACCGCAUGGUUCAAUAGUGAAAGACGGUUUUGCUGUCACUUAUAGAUGGAUCCGCGCCGCAUUAGCUAGUUGGUAAGGUAACGGCUUACCAAGGCAACGAUGCGUAGCCGACCUGAGAGGGUGAUCGGCCACACGGGAACUGAGACUCGGUCCAGACUCCUACGGGAGGCAGCAGUAGGGAAUCUUCCGCAAUGGGCGAAAGCCUGACGGAGCAACGCCGCGUGAGUGAUGAAGGUCUUCGGAUCGUAAAGCUCUGUUAUUAGGGAAGAACAAAUGUGUAAGUAACUAUGCACGUCUUGACGGUACCUAAUCAGAAAGCCACGGCUAACUACGUG
This 497-nucleotide ribosomal RNA is filed under the name uncultured bacterium. Its description in RNAcentral is "partial 16S ribosomal RNA". It matches the Rfam family "Bacterial small subunit ribosomal RNA", at positions 28 to 507 of the family's 1533-position model. The record is from RNAcentral.